UGGGGAAUAUUGGACAAUGGGCGAAAGCCUGAUCCAGCCAUGCCGCGUGUGUGAAGAAGGCCUUUUGGUUGUAAAGCACUUUAAGCGAGGAGGAGGCUACUUGGAUUAAUACUCUAGGAUAGUAGACGUUACUCGCAGAAUAAGCACCGGCUAACUCUGUGCCAGCAGCCGCGGUAAUACAGAGGGUGCGAGCGUUAAUCGGAUUUACUGGGCGUAAAGCGUGCGUAGGCGGCUUCUUAAGUCGGAUGUGAAAUCCCUGAGCUUAACUUAGGAAUUGCAUUCGAUACUGGGAAGCUAGAGUAUGGGAGAGGAUGGUAGAAUUCCAGGUGUAGCGGUGAAAUGCGUAGAGAUCUGGAGGAAUACCGAUGGCGAAGGCAGCCAUCUGGCCUAAUACUGACGCUGAGGUACGAAAGCAUGGGGAGCAAACAGG
Molecule: ribosomal RNA, 430 nt
Filed under: Acidobacteriota bacterium
Lineage: Bacteria; Pseudomonadati; Acidobacteriota
Description: Acidobacteria bacterium partial 16S ribosomal RNA
Rfam family: Bacterial small subunit ribosomal RNA
Source: RNAcentral